AAACUGGGGAACUUGAGUGCAGAAGAGGAGAGUGGAAUUCCACGUGUAGCGGUGAAAUGCUAAGAGAUGUGGAGGAACACCAGUGGCGAAGGCGACUCUCUGGUCUGUAACUGACGCUGAGGAGCGAAAGCGUGGGGAGCGAACAGGAUUAGAUACCCUGGUAGUCCACGCCGUAAACGAUGAGUGCUAAGUGUUAGGGGGUUUCCGCCCCUUAGUGCUGCAGCUAACGCAUUAAGCACUCCGCCUGGGGAGUACGGUCGCAAGACUGAAACUCAAAGGAAUUGACGGGGGCCCGCACAAGCGGUGGAGCAUGUGGUUUAAUUCGAAGCAACGCGAAGAACCUUACCAGGUCUUGACAUCCUCUGACAAUCCUAGAGAUAGGACGUCCCCUUCGGGGGCAGAGUGACAGGUGGUGCAUGGUUGUCGUCAGCUCGUGUCGUGAGAUGUUGGGUUAAGUCCCGCAACGAGCGCAACCCUUGAUCUUAGUUGCCAGCAUUCAGUUGGGCACUCUAAGGUGACUGCCGGUGACAAACCGGAGGAAGGUGGGGAUGACGUCAAAUCAUCAUGCCCCUUAUGACCUGGGCUACACACGUGCUACAAUGGACAGAACAAAGGGCAGCGAAACCGCGAGGUUAAGCCAAUCCCACAAAUCUGUUCUCAGUUCGGAUCGCAGUCUGCAACUCGACUGCGUGAAGCUGGAAUCGCUAGUAAUCGCGGAUCAGCAUGCGCGGG
Molecule: ribosomal RNA, 732 nt
Filed under: Bacillus sp. T149-4
Lineage: Bacteria; Bacillati; Bacillota; Bacilli; Caryophanales; Bacillaceae
Description: bacterial SSU rRNA
Rfam family: Bacterial small subunit ribosomal RNA
Source: RNAcentral